AUUGAAUCAGAAACCCUAAUUCCCAAAUUAAUUGAGAAACCUAACCCUAGCCUCCCUCACCACAGCCGCACCCCACCCCUUUUCACCCCUUUAGUGCAACAAUUUCAGAAACGAGAAAUCAGAGAGGGAGAGUGAGGAAACAGAGGAGAGAAUAGAGGAAGCAGGGGCUGUUCGCCGUCACUGCCGCCUCCCUGGAGCUCGCCGCCAAGCUGCUUCAUGGCGUCGUCCCGUCCAUGGAGCCAUAAGCUCGCGUCACCGCCGAUCCGUCCACAAGUCGUCGUCGAGGGGACAGAAUCGCGAAGAGAGAGAGACGCACGAACAAGAGAGGCCCGCAACCAGCCUUGUCGCUUCCAUCCUUGCGCCGCCGCCGUCGCCCUCAUCGCCACUCCGUGGAGCCCGCUUCGUCACCGUCGUCGAGGUCUUCAUCGUUGCCGUCACUAGAGGUCUAUGAACAGAGAGAAGACGCACGAGGAAUGAGAAGCCUUCCCCGUCACCGUUCCACCUCAACCUGGCAUCGCCAUCAUCGUCGCCAGGGAAGUCGCCGUCAUUGUCGUGGCCUGGUGCCGUCGAUGGAAGCCACCGCCAUCGCCUGAGAAGAACCCGAAGAGAGAGAGGGAGCUUGUAGAGAGGAACGCGAAGCAGGAGCCUCCGUGUCGCGCCGCCAAUCUGUCACCGUGUUACUGCGUCGCCGUUAAUGAAACUUCUGCCACCGUCAUGAACUACGAAUAGAGGAGAGGAAAAGAGAUGAGUUCGCAAGGGAGAAGAGGAAGCAACGCUAUCCUUCCAUCGCCGCUGCUGUCAAGGUUUGUGGAAGAGAGUGUCACCGUCGCCGUGGGUGGAGUCCACUGUCUGAGCUGCCACCAUAGGAAGCCGCUGCCACUAUGUGUACAGAGAAGAGGAGCGCCGCGAGAAUCAAGGGAAGAAGAUGUUGUUCUGCCUCUGCUUCUGGUUUCUGGAAUCUAACAGAGCGCCACUGCCGUCGAUCGGAGAUGCUAAAAUUGCCGUUGCUGCUGAUGGAUUCGAAAUACUUGGUUGUGGCGUUUAGGCUCUGCAAUUUCGACAUCGAGGUAUGGGGUUUUCACCUAAUCUACUUCCUCUGUGGUGAUGUGAUUGAUAGAGAUUCUCCAGCAAAGUAUGGAGUUUCUACCUAAUCUACUUUCUCUGUGGUGAUGUGAUUGACAGAGUUUCUCCAGCAAACUAUUGCAUAGACAUGCAACUCUUUGCCCUGAAUUUAAGAGGUUCAUUGAGAAAAGAAUGGGCUUUGUCACACUAAGAUGGCAUCACAUUACUUUUUGUCUAACUAGGGAAUUGCCUCCUUCAAAGAGAAAUAUGUGGAGUAGGUUAUCUUCCCUUGAAAAUAUCUUCUGCACACAUAAUAAUAUUCUGCCAUAUAUUCUUCACUAAAAAUGUGGAAAUCCCUAUUAAGCUGUUGAAAAGACAUGCAGGUCUUUGCCCCUGAAUUUAAGAGGUUCAAUGAGAAAGGAAUGGGUUUUGUGAGAAUAAGAUGGCAUUACUGUACUGUUUGUCUAACUAGGGAAUUCCCUCCUUCAAAGAUCAAUACGUGGAGUAGGUUAUCUUCCUUUGAAAAUGUCUUCUGCAGAGAUAAUGAUGUUCUACCAUGUAUUCUUCAUUGAAAAUGUGGGAAUCCCUAUCAAGGUAUGGGGUUUCUAUCUAAUCUAUUUGGUGAGUGGUGAUGUCAUUGAUAGGAAUUGAUUGAUAGUUUCUUGGUCAUUUAUUUGCAUUUUGAUGAAACCUUUGGUUAGUCAACUCAAUUGCAUUUCAAUUUUUUAUUGAUUAUGCAAAAACUGCUGUAUAUUUCACCUCUUGCAUAGAACUAGAGCUGUUUGUCAUGAAUUUGUGUGCUUCAUUGAGAAAGGAAUGGGCUUGUGCCACUCCUAUUCAAGUUUUGCAUUCCCAAUUCCAUUCUCUCCUAUUCAAGUUUUGCAUUCCCGUUUUCAUUCUCAUUCAAUAAUCCCUUUGAAUUGUUUGGGGUGAAUCUAGGAAUUUAUAAUGUUUUCUGCAUUUAAAAUCAUGUUCUACAAUAUAUGCUUGAUGUCAAAUUUUAUGAAGCACUCAAAUAAUUAUAUCCAAAGUAGACCCAUUCAUUCCAAUAUUAAAAACUGAUGAAUCUAUUUUUUUCUGUGUAUAUUCAACAAAUCCAUUAAGUUUACAUAAAGUGAAUUGCUGGUUGCAUGUGGGUUGUGUGAAUCAUUAUCAAGGAAUGGGUUUUGUACCUAAUCUAUUCUAUGAGUGGUGAUGUGAUUGAUAGAAAUUGAUGUAUAACUUCUUGGUCAUUUAUUUAUAUUUUGAUUUCAACUCAAUUGUAUUUCAUUUUUUUAUUGUUGAUAUAAAAAUUAUUUUAUAUUUUAGCUAUUGCAUAGACAUGCAGCUCUUUGCCCUGAAUUUAAGAGGUUCAUUACGAAAAGAAUGGGCUUUGUCACACUAAGAUGGCAUCACAGUACUGUUUGUCUAACUAGGAAAUUCCCUCCUUCAAAGAGAAAUACGUGGAGUAGGUUAUCUUCCUUUGAAAAUAUCUUCUGCACACAUAAUGAUGUCCUGCCAUAUAUUCUUCACUGAAAAUGUGGGAAUCCCUAUGAAGGUAUGGGGUUUCUAUGUAAUUUAUUUGGUGAGUGGUGAUGUGAUUGAUAGGAGUUGAUUGAUAGCUUCUUGGUCAUUUAUUUGUAUUUUGAUGAAACCUUAGGUUAGUCAACUCAAUUGCAUUUUAAUAUUUUAUUGGUUAUGCAAAAACUGGUGUAUAUUUCACCUCUUGCAUAGAACUGGAGCCGUUUAUCAUGAAUUUGUGUGCUUCAUUGAGAAAGGAAUAGGCUUGUGCCUCUAAAAUGGGUUCACGGUACUGUUUGUCUAACUAGCAAACUUCUUUAUCCAAAGAGAAAUCUAUCCAGCAGGUCUACCUUCCCUUGAAAAUGUCUUCUGCACACAUAAUCAUGUUGUGCCAUACAUUCUUCAUUGGAAAUUUGGGAAUCAUUAUGAAGGUAUGGGGUUUCUAUCUAAUCCAUUUCACGAUUGUUGAUGUGAUUGACAGAAUUUUAUUGAUGUGUGUCUAUAAUUUUGUUCACAUUCAUUUGCUGUUUCGAACCUAUGCCUACCUAAUACAUUUACCAACUCUCAUUACCAUGAGUAGAAUCAUUAUUUGAGGUGGUUGAUGAUUGCCUUCCCUAUGGUCUAAUGAUAUGUAGGUGCACUAUAUUAGGUAUUGUGUGAUAUCUUCUUUCUUUGGUCCCUAUUCCUUGAAUUCUUCAAACUUUCACUUGUUUUUUUCCUUUUUUUUUUUCAGGUUUUGCUCUUGUUAUUAGUUUUCCCUAUGCCAUUGAAUGGAGAUGCAUGUGGACUGAGAUUUUCCUUUCCCUCCAUUUCCAUGUUUAAUUUGAAUUAAAAAAGCAAUGCCUCCUCCAAUUGAUAUGAUUUCUAAGAUGCAUCCUCCUAGAGAGGCUUGGAGGCUAAAAGUUAGGGUUCUAAGGCUUUGGGUUGUACCCUCUUUUGGUAACCAUGAAGUUCCUAACUCAAUGGAUAUGAUUUUUCUUGAUGAGCAUGUUAGCCCCUAUUAGCUAUUGUUUUAAAUAUGGUGUUAGUUGUUGUUUUUCAGUUUUCAACUUAAAAUUAUGUUUUUAACUAAUCUGAUUUUUUUUUGUUGCAUUUCCAGUGUGAAAAAAUUCAAGCUACAGUUAAGAAACAGGUUCUUAAUAGGUUUAGGGAUCAUAUAGUUGAAGGUCAAGUUUAUAGAAUGGCAUACUUUACUGUUGUGUCAAAUCAUGGUAGUUAUAGAGCAACUUCUCAUGAAUUUAAAUUGGUUUUCCUUCACCGAACCACUAUUGUACCUGUUGAUGAAGAUGUUAUUCCAAAGACUUGUUUCAACAUGUUUCCUUUUUCUGAGCUGCUGAACAUGACCCAAGAUUAUGAUUUUUUUGUUGAUGUCAUUGGUCUUUUAACUUCAGUGGGUGAAGAGAAAGAAUAUGCAAAAGAGGAGAAAAUUAUGAAAAUGAUUGUGCUCGAAUUAACUUCAAAAGAUGCGUUGUGCAUUGUUUGGGAACUAUGUUAAUCAAGUAAAUCAUUUCCUAGCCUCUGGCUAUGUGGAGCAGCCUGUUGUUGUCAUUCAACUUCCAAAAGUCAAGUUCUUUAGGGUCAAGUAGGUCUCCAAAAUGUGAUGUAUGCCACUCAAAUGUUAUUCAAUCCUGAUAUUCCUGAAGUUGUUGAAUUCAGGCAGAGGUGUCAAUGGUACCCAGCCAUUGUUCAUCGCAAAUGAGGAAAAAGUUGUCUCCUUGGAAGAUGAUUUCAUGCGUUUAACUAGAAGAUGCACUAUUGAAGACUCCAAGAUAACAAUGAGGAGGGUUCUUUUAUCAUUUUUGGUACAAUCAGAGGUAUUGUUGAGGAUGGAAGUUGGUGGUAUUCUACUUGUGUGUGUGGAAAGGGUAUCUAUCCUCAAAAUAGUGCAUACUACUGUGAUUUCAGUGUGAAGCAUAUAACUAAUGUCACUUCAAGAUUUAAAAUUAAAAUAACACUUGAAGAUCAUAGUGGAGAGGGUAUUUUCGUUCUCUUUGAUUGUGAAGCAUCUUAUUUGUUUAAGAAAUCAUGCACUGACUUGUUUACUGAGGUUCAAAAAGAUCCAAGCGUAUGUGCUUAGUUUUCUUUUGUGUGUUGUUCACUUUAUGUGGUUCAUUUUUUUUAUACCCAUAUUCUUUAUUUUGGUUCAUAUGUGUUAUUCAAAGUGUGUAUCUCUUAUCUAUAACCUUGAAAAUAGCUUAUAUGUGGGAUGCUUAUCCUCCCAUAUUCCAAGGGCUCAUUGGAAAAAAGUUGCUGCUGAAGAUUUAUACCAAAGGUGUCAGACUUGAUAAAUUUUAUGGCACUUUCCGAGUUAGGAGAGUAUGUGAUGAUCCCAUCAUUAUAGCUAUGUUUGAACUUCCCGAUUAUGAUGCUGAUGAUGAGUUUACUCCAAAAAAGGAGCCUGAAUUGAACAAAUCUGUUCCCUAUGGAAAUGGGGAUAUUGGUAUUAAGAAUGAGUCAUCAAGGACUUUUACCAAAAGUGAAAAAGUUACUGCUGAGUCUUUUGGGAUUUUAUGUAAAUCCCCAGUUCUUAUAGAUUUUCUGGCUGAAAAAUAGCCUGAUGUUUUUGGAGGGACUGAAGUUGCUACCUUAAUUAAUCAUGAAAGUGGAAAAACUGAAAAAACACCGGAGAAUGAUACCCUUAGCGAUGAUCUUUCUGUUGAACUGGAUAUAUUGCUUAGCUCACCAGUGAAAGAAACUCAGGAGGUGUUCUCCCAAGUUCUUGAUGCAUCUUCCAAAUAUGGAGAGAGGGUUAAUCAUGAAGAUCGUGUUGUCACUUCCAAGGGCAAGAGGAAUUUGAAUCCCCAAUUUGACGAGGUGGCUAAUGAUGCAGAUGGGCGUGGGUCCAAGAUUGCCAAGGUUGAUGGAGCUUGAUUUAAGUUGUGGAAUUGAGCUGCUGUGUGUAGGUGUAGGUAUUUUAUAUAGUAUAUCUAUAAGUGUUUAGAAAGGCUUAUGAUUCCAAGUGGAUCUAAAUGUAAUCAAGCUGGCUGGAUACUAUUUUGAUUUGACUUUUUUGGAUUGUGUCUAACAAAUAGGAUUGUCAGAUAUAGGGGUUUUCCUUGUGUGUUGGCUCAGGUCAGGUGUCAACUAUGUCUAUUCUCAACCCCUUCUUUUGUAAUAGUGACUUUGCUAGGGAUUGGACACAUUUUCAAUGCUGUAACCUAUAUAGGUUACAUACUAGGAUAUGUAGUUAGAUGUUGGAAUCCUCCUUAUCAUAGGAGAGAUAGCCAUAUCUAAUUGGGUAUAUCAAUAUCAAUAUAUUAGUGAAAUGCAGUCGUUCUUAUUAUUA
Molecule: non-coding RNA, 5848 nt
Organism: Arachis ipaensis
Lineage: Eukaryota; Viridiplantae; Streptophyta; Magnoliopsida; Fabales; Fabaceae
Source: RefSeq, a predicted model, not a curated record